UACGUAGGGGGCAAGCGUUGUCCGGAUUCAUUGGGCGUAAAGAGCGUGUAGGCGGCCAGGUAGGUCGGUUGUGAAAACUGGAGGCUCAACCUUCAGAGGUCGACCGAAACCAUCUGGCUAGAGUCCGGGAGAGGAGAGUGGAAUUCCUGGUGUAGCGGUGAAAUGCGCAGAUAUCAGGAAGAACACCCGUGGCGAAAGCGGCUCUCUGGAACGGUACUGACGCUGAGACGCGAAAGCGUGGGGGAGCGAAACAGGG
RNAcentral lists this ribosomal RNA (256 nucleotides) under uncultured bacterium. RNAcentral's name for it is "partial 16S ribosomal RNA". It matches the Rfam family "Bacterial small subunit ribosomal RNA", at positions 524 to 777 of the family's 1533-position model. The record is from RNAcentral.